RNAcentral lists this ribosomal RNA (504 nucleotides) under uncultured bacterium. RNAcentral's name for it is "partial 16S ribosomal RNA". It matches the Rfam family "Bacterial small subunit ribosomal RNA", at positions 30 to 523 of the family's 1533-position model. The record is from RNAcentral.
AUUGAACGCUGGCGGCAUGCCUUACACAUGCAAGUCGAACGGCAGCAUGGAGAGCUUGCUCUCUGAUGGCGAGUGGCGAACGGGUGAGUAAAGCAUCGGAACGUACCGUGUAGUGGGGGAUAACGUAGCGAAAGUUACGCUAAUACCGCAUACGCACUGAGGUGGAAAGCAGGGGAUCGCAAGACCUUGCGCUAUACGAGCGGCCGAUGUCAGAUUAGCUAGUUGGUAGGGUAAAGGCCUACCAAGGCGACGAUCUGUAGCGGGUCUGAGAGGAUGAUCCGCCACACUGGGAAUGAGAAACGGCCCAGACUCCUGCGGGAGGCAGCAGUGGGGAAUUUUGGACAAUGGGGGCAACCCUGAUCCAGCCAUGCCGCGUGAGUGAAGAAGGCCUUCGGGUUGUAAAGCUCUUUCGGCCGGGAAGAAAUCGCACAGGCUAAUACUCUGUGUGGAUGACGGUACCGGCAUAAGAAGCACCGGCUAACUACGUGCCAGCCGCCGCCGUAA